RNAcentral lists this ribosomal RNA (515 nucleotides) under uncultured bacterium. Its description in RNAcentral is "bacterial SSU rRNA". It matches the Rfam family "Bacterial small subunit ribosomal RNA", at positions 29 to 520 of the family's 1533-position model. The record is from RNAcentral.
AGCGAACGUUAGCGGCGGGCCUAACACAUGCAAGUCGAACGCGAAAGGUCUUCGGACUAAGUAGAGUGGCGCACGGGUGAGUAACACGUAGGUAAUCUACCCUUUGGCGGGGGAUAACGUUCCGAAAGGAGCGCUAAUACCGCAUAAGACCACGGAGUCUCCGGACGCUGUGGGAAAAGGUGGCCUCUUCUUGAAAGCUACCACCGAAGGAUGAGCCUGCGUCCCAUCAGCUAGUUGGUAAGGUAAUGGCUUACCAAGGCGAAGACGGGUAGCUGGUUUGAGAGAAUGAUCAGCCACACUGGCACUGGAACACGGACCAGACUCCUACGGGAGGCAGCAGUGAGGAAUAUUGGGCAAUGGGCGAAAGCCUGACCCAGCCACGCCGCGUGAGUGAUGAAGGCCCUCGGGUCGUAAAGCUCUGUGGAGAGGGACGAAAACCCUGGUUUCAAAUAGGCUCCAGGCUUGACGGUACCUCUUUAGCAAGCACCGGCUAACUCUGUGCCAGCAGCCGACGG